GAAAUGCGAUAAGUAAUGUGAAUUGCAGAAUUCAGUGAAUCAUCGAAUCUUUGAACGCACAUUGCGCCCGCCAGUAUUCUGGCGGGCAUGCCUGUUCGAGCGUCAUUUCAACCAUCAAGCCCCCGGGCCUGUGUUGGGGACCUGCGGCUGCCCGCAGGCCCCGAAAACCAGUGGCGGGCUCGCUGUCACCCCGAGCGUAGUAGCAACACCUCGCCCAGGGAGUGCCGCGGGUUCCGGCCGUAAAACCUCGCCCUCGCGGCGAGAACACCCCCCCCCAAGGUUGACCUCGGAUCAGGUAGGAAGACCCGCUGAACUUAAGC
Molecule: unclassified non-coding RNA, 320 nt
Filed under: plant metagenome
Description: partial contains 5.8S ribosomal RNA, internal transcribed spacer 2, and large subunit ribosomal RNA
Rfam family: 5.8S ribosomal RNA (bases 1-105)
Source: RNAcentral